GAUGAACGCUGGCGGCGUGCCUAAUACAUGCAAGUAGAACGCUGAAGCUUGGUGCUUGCACCGAGCGGAUGAGUUGCGAACGGGUGAGUAACGCGUAGGUAACCUGCCUGGUAGCGGGGGAUAACUAUUAGAAACGAUAGCUAAUACCGCAUAACAGUAGAUAUUGCAUGAUAUCUGCUUGAAAGGUGCAAAUGCAUCACUACCAGAUGGACCUGCGUUGUAUUAGCUAGUUGGUGAGGUAACGGCUCACCAAGGCGACGAUACAUAGCCGACCUGAGAGGGUGAUCGGCCACACUGGGACUGAGACACGGCCCAGACUCCUACGGGAGGCAGCAGUAGGGAAUCUUCGGCAAUGGGGGGAACCCUGAACGAGCAACGCCGCGGGAGUGAAGAAGGUUUUCGGAUCGUAAAGCUCUGUUGUAAGAGAAGAACGAGUGUGAGAGUGGAAAGUUCACACUGUGACGGUAUCUUACCAGAAAGGGACGGCUAACUACGUG
RNAcentral lists this ribosomal RNA (497 nucleotides) under uncultured bacterium. RNAcentral's name for it is "partial 16S ribosomal RNA". It matches the Rfam family "Bacterial small subunit ribosomal RNA", at positions 28 to 507 of the family's 1533-position model. The record is from RNAcentral.